GGGAAUGAAGGAUAGUGAAGUGGUAAAGAAUCUACUUUGCAUGCAGAAGGUCCCAGGUUCAAUCCCUGGCAUCUCCA
This is a non-coding RNA of Podarcis lilfordi (Lilford's wall lizard), 77 nucleotides long. NCBI's taxonomy places the organism in Eukaryota, Metazoa, Chordata, Lepidosauria, Squamata, Lacertidae. The record is from the annotation of a GenBank genome assembly.